AUGCCUUGCUCAAGGGCACCUCAGUCGUUACCUGCCGGUCCUGAGAAUCCAACCGGCAACCUUCUGGUCACGAGUCCGACUCUCUAACCAUUAGGCCACGACUGCCACUGUUAUUUAUUGAUCAUAUUUAGUGUUUAGUGUUAAUGCUGUUGUUCAGUGUGCAGGAGGUUUUUGUACAGCCGCUGAAUGGGUUUGUAUCACUGUGGAGGACUUUUGGUGGAGGCACAAGACUCUCAGUUGGAACUAACGCUCAGCCGACUCUAACGGUCCUGUCGCCCUCCAGAGAUGAGUUGAAUCAGGGUAAAGCUUCAGUCAUGUGUGUGGCCAGUAAGGGAUUCCCCUCUGACUGGAAGUUGAGCUGGAAGGUGGAUGGUAACAGCAGGAGCUCUGGUGUGAAUCUGAGUCCUGGUGUCCUGCAGAAGGAUGGACUGUACAGCUGGAGCAGCAGUCUGAGUCUCACUCACAGUGAAUGGAGCUCAGCGAAAACCAUCAGCUGUGAGGCCACACAGAGCUCUCAGAAUCCAGUCUCCAAAAUCCUCAACACACAGGAGUGUGAUGUACAAUGAGAGCACACACACAUGCACAUGCAUGCACAAACACACAGACGUUUUAGUAAAAGUAACAAAAUU
Triplophysa rosa is the source of this 629-nucleotide non-coding RNA. NCBI's taxonomy places the organism in Eukaryota, Metazoa, Chordata, Actinopteri, Cypriniformes, Nemacheilidae. The record is from the annotation of a RefSeq genome assembly.